Molecule: ribosomal RNA, 259 nt
Filed under: uncultured bacterium
Lineage: Bacteria
Description: partial 16S ribosomal RNA
Rfam family: Bacterial small subunit ribosomal RNA
Source: RNAcentral
UACAGAGGUCCCGAGCGUUUGUUCGGAUUCAUUGGGCGUAAAGGGUGCGUAGGCGGCUUCCUAAGUUUGAUGUGAAAUCCUGGGGCUCAACCCUGGAACUGCAUUGAAUACUGGGAGGCUAGAGUACUGGAGAGGAAACUGGAAUUUACGGUGUAGCAGUGAAAUGCGUAGAGAUCGUAAGGAAGACCAGUGGCGAAGGCGAGUUUCUGGACAGUUACUGACGCUGAGGCACGAAAGGCCCAGGGGGAGCAAAACGGGG